GAACUGCGAUAAGUGUGGUGAAUCGCAGAACACCGCGAACCAUGAAACCGUUGAACGCACACUGCGGCCUCAGGCUCGCCUGGGGUCACGUGCUGCUGAGUGUCGGCCCAAAACCCAAUGACAAAUCACAUUUCGGUGUGAUACAGUCGAUGUGCGGAUGCUCUUCACUGUAGCUUCUGCCAAGUGAAGGACGAAUAAAGGGAAAGCGAGUCUCCGGACUUGCUCCUUUCCCCGAAUGGGAAUGACUUACGCAACAAACGAUGGCUCGCAACCUUAGUGUUGGACUGUAUGGGAUUGGGUAUCAUUGUCCUCGCUAUUCUGCUUGUCGUCUGCAUUAGUCUGAUUCCUGCUCGUCUGCCCUCUCUGUGGGCACUCCUUUCGGGGAGACCGCCACCACAUUGAAGCCGAAGGUUGGAUGUUCCCCUCGGGAGCAGAAGACCUCACCCACUGACCUCAGCAGUACGAGACUACGCGCUGAACUUAAGC
Molecule: unclassified non-coding RNA, 486 nt
Filed under: plant metagenome
Description: partial contains 5.8S ribosomal RNA, internal transcribed spacer 2, and large subunit ribosomal RNA
Rfam family: 5.8S ribosomal RNA (bases 1-105)
Source: RNAcentral